AGCAUAUUAAUAAGCGGAGGAAAAGAAACUAACAAGGAUUCCCUCAGUAACAGCGAGUGAAGCGGGAACAGCUCAAAUUUGAAAUCUCCGACGCUUGCGUCGGCGAGUUGUAGUUGCGAGAAGCACUUUCUAGGCGGAUCGGUGGUGCCUAAGUUGCUUGGAACAGUACGUCAUAGAGGGUGACAACCCCGU
Molecule: ribosomal RNA, 192 nt
Filed under: Goniopora sp.
Lineage: Eukaryota; Metazoa; Cnidaria; Anthozoa; Scleractinia; Poritidae
Also listed under: 1 other name
Description: partial 28S ribosomal RNA
Rfam family: Eukaryotic large subunit ribosomal RNA
Source: RNAcentral